This 489-nucleotide ribosomal RNA is filed under the name Bathippus pahang. Its description in RNAcentral is "partial 16S ribosomal RNA". The stretch from base 97 to 397 matches the Rfam family "Bacterial large subunit ribosomal RNA", at positions 2072 to 2648 of the family's 2925-position model. Lineage: Eukaryota; Metazoa; Arthropoda; Arachnida; Araneae; Salticidae. The record is from RNAcentral.
UUUUAAAUAAAGACUAGAACAAACGAUUUAACAUUUCAAAAAUUCUCUUCUACUCUCCCUUUAAACUUACUUUAAAUGUUAAAAAACAUUUAUAUUAUAGAAAGACGACAAGACCCUAUUGAACUUAACUUAAGUUAAACUGGGGCAGUAAAUUCAAAUAUUACUUUUUAAUAAAAUUUUGAAAAAAUUAACCAAAAUUUAUGAUCAAAUCAGUUACCAUAGGGAUAACAGCGUUAUAAUAUUUAAUAGAUCAAAUAAAAAAUAUAUUUUACGACCUCGAUGUUGAAUUAAUAACCUUUACUAAGCAAAAAUAAAAAAAGGAGGUCUGUUCGACCUUUAAAAAAUUACAUGAUUUGAGUUCAGACCGGUGUAAACCAGGUCGGUUUCUAUCUUCUAUCAAUUUUUCUACAGUACGAAAGGACCUAAGAAUUUUAAAUAAUUUCUUAUUAGCAAACAAAUGCAUUAGAAUUAGAAUCUAAAAAAACUUAC